UGCCAGACUCCUACGGGAGGCAGCAGUGGGGAAUAUUGCACAAUGGGGGAAACCCUGAUGCAGCAACGCCGCGUGAGUGAAGAAGCCAUUCGUGAUGUAAAGCUCUAUCAGCAGGGAAGAAAAUGACGGUACCUGAGUAAGAAGCCCCGGCUAACUACGUGCCAGCAGCCGCGGUAAUACGUAGGGGGCAAGCGUUAUCCGGAUUUACUGGGUGUAAAGGGAGCGUAGACGGCCAGACAAGUCUGAAGUGAAAAUCCAGCGCUUAACGUUGGAAGUGCUUUGGAAACUGCCGGGCUGGAGUGCAGGAGGGGCAGGCGGAAUUCCUAGUGUAGCGGUGAAAUGCGUAGAUAUUAGGAGGAACACCAGUGGCGAAGGCGGGUUCCUGGACAUUAACUGACGCUGAGGCACGAAGGCCAGGGGAGCGAAAGGGAUUAGAUACCCGUGUAC
RNAcentral lists this ribosomal RNA (447 nucleotides) under uncultured bacterium. RNAcentral describes it as "bacterial SSU rRNA". It matches the Rfam family "Bacterial small subunit ribosomal RNA", at positions 329 to 793 of the family's 1533-position model. The record is from RNAcentral.